GGCAGUGGUAGCUCAGUGGUUAAACUGCUGGCCUACUACUCAGAAGGGUGUGAGUUCAAAUCCCAAUACUGCCA
This is a non-coding RNA of Pangasianodon gigas (Mekong giant catfish), 74 nucleotides long. The record is from the annotation of a GenBank genome assembly. Lineage: Eukaryota; Metazoa; Chordata; Actinopteri; Siluriformes; Pangasiidae.